Oryctolagus cuniculus (rabbit) is the source of this 302-nucleotide unclassified non-coding RNA. It matches the Rfam family "Metazoan signal recognition particle RNA". Rfam says of the family: The signal recognition particle (SRP) is a universally conserved ribonucleoprotein. It is involved in the co-translational targeting of proteins to membranes. Lineage: Eukaryota; Metazoa; Chordata; Mammalia; Lagomorpha; Leporidae. The record is from Ensembl.
GCCGGGCACGGUGGCGCGCGUCUGUAGUCCCAGCUACUCGGGAGGCUGAGGCCGGAGGAUCGCUUGAGUCCAGGAGUUCUGGGCUGUCGUGUGCUAUGCCGAUUGGGUGUCCGCACUAAGUUCGGCAUCAAUAUGGUGACCUCCCGGGAGCGGGGGACCACCAGGUUGCCUAAGGAGGGGUGAACCGGCCCAGGUUGGAAACGGAGCAGGUCAAAAGGUAAUAACUAAUAUUUUUAAGUGCUGGCAUGUGACUUCAUAGAAUGCUGAAAAUUGACAGCCUAUAUCUGUGUAACUAAGUGCAA